Pteropus vampyrus (large flying fox) is the source of this 101-nucleotide small nuclear RNA. The record is from Ensembl. NCBI's taxonomy places the organism in Eukaryota, Metazoa, Chordata, Mammalia, Chiroptera, Pteropodidae.
GUGCUUGCUUCGGCAGUACAUAUACUAAAAUAGGAAUGAUACAGAGAUUAGCCUGGCCCCAUGAAAGGAUGACACAAAUUCGUGAGGUGUUCCAUAUUUUA